GCCUACGGGACGCAGCAGUGAGGAAUAUUGGUCAAUGGGCGGAAGCCUGAACCAGCCAAGUCGCGUGAGGGAAUAAGGCCCUACGGGUCGUAAACCUCUUUUGCCGGGGAGCAAGGGCGGGGACGUGUCCCGGCCCGGAGAGUACCCGGAGAAAAAGCAUCGGCUAACUCCGUGCCAGCAGCCGCGGUAAUACGGAGGAUGCGAGCGUUAUCCGGAUUUAUUGGGUUUAAAGGGUGCGUAGGCGGGCUUUUAAGUCAGCGGUAAAAAUUCGGGGCUCAACCCCGGCCGGUCGUUGAAACUGGGGG
This 305-nucleotide ribosomal RNA is filed under the name uncultured bacterium. RNAcentral's name for it is "bacterial SSU rRNA". It matches the Rfam family "Bacterial small subunit ribosomal RNA", at positions 337 to 639 of the family's 1533-position model. The record is from RNAcentral.